Molecule: RNA transcript, 872 nt
Organism: Triticum dicoccoides
Lineage: Eukaryota; Viridiplantae; Streptophyta; Magnoliopsida; Poales; Poaceae
Exons: 4
Source: RefSeq, a predicted model, not a curated record
CACCACGACACCAUCGCCGUCCACACCUUCUCCGACGAAACCCUAGCGAUGGCGUUCCGCGGCGCAGCCUCCCGCUCCUUCCUCGCCGCCGUCCGCGGCCGCACCGCCUCCACUGUCCCGCGCGUACGCGCGGCCCCCAUUCCCGCCGCCCUUCCCCGUCGCAUCCCUGCCUCGGCGCCCUCCUCCCCUCUCGCCGCCGCAAGGCCAUUGGCGGCGUUGAUGGGGUCGCCGGCGUUGGUUGCCGCAAGGCUGACGGGGCACUGCGCGGCGAGCGCGCGGGCGUGCUGUGAGCUCUCCCAGGGUACCCUCUUCUGCCGCACUUGUCAGGAUCGCUAACAAGGAAAAAUGGGGAAGAUGGUUGACGCAGAGGACAGCCAGAAUAAUUUUGGCACCCAUUGCGUCAAAUAAUGUACUUAAAGGACGAGUUGCUGCCCUUCGCAAGGAUACAACAGUUCUUUUGGGUGCAUCUCCUUGGAAGCUCUUCUGGGUUCAGUUCCUUUUCCUGGAUUCUGCAAAGUUAAAAAACUCCCCACUGCCGGUGCUAGUUUUUGUCUCCUAGACAAACGGACAUUCUACUUGAUAUUUUUAUAUAUGAAUAACGUCCUUUUGAUCAGCACAUGUCUCAUUGGAUGGUUCUUGUUUGCGAGGCAUGUUGAAAUCUUUAAUUCGUAAUCGGUAUCAUGCUGUUUCUCUAUGAGUCUACACUCGCAGCGAAUUUGCAAGUGGGAGUUCAGUGGAAUCAAAGAAAGCCCACAUGUGAUUGUCGAUAUAUUAUCGUUAUUGAUAGCCAAACUGUAGAUUGUGUUGUGUCUUCAACCGUUUAAAUUUAUGAAUCUAAAAUUUCCGUUUGUAUAAUUUAUAAAUAGCUGGUA